This 497-nucleotide ribosomal RNA is filed under the name uncultured bacterium. Its description in RNAcentral is "partial 16S ribosomal RNA". It matches the Rfam family "Bacterial small subunit ribosomal RNA", at positions 28 to 507 of the family's 1533-position model. The record is from RNAcentral.
GAUGAACGCUGGCGGCGUGCCUAAUACAUGCAAGUCGAGCGAACAGACGAGGAGCUUGCUCCUCUGACGUUAGCGGCGGACGGGUGAGUAACACGUGGAUAACCUACCUAUAAGACUGGGAUAACUUCGGGAAACCGGAGCUAAUACCGGAUAAUAUAUUGAACCGCAUGGUUCAAUAGUGAAAGACGGUUUUGCUGUCACUUAUAGAUGGAUCCGCGCCGCAUUGGCUAGUUGGUAAGGUAACGGCUUACCAAGGCAACGAUGCGUAGCCGACCUGAGAGGGGGAUCGGCCACACGGGAACGGAGACACGGUCCAGACGCCUACGGGAGGCAGCAGUAGGGAAUCUUCCGCAAUGGGCGAAAGCCUGACGGAGCAACGCCGCGUGAGUGAUGAAGGUCUUCGGAUCGUAAAACUCUGUUAUUAGGGAAAAACAAAUGUGUAAGUAACUAUGCACGGCUUGACGGUACCUAAUCAGAAAGCCACGGCUAACUACGUG